GACGAACGCUGGCGGCGUGCUUAACACAUGCAAGUCGAACGGUGAAGCGCCUUCCUUUUUGGUGGGUGUGGAUGAGUGGCGAACGGGUGAGUAACACGUGAGUAACCUGCCCCCUUCUUCUGGAUAACCGCAUGAAAGUGUGGCUAAUACGGGAUAUUCUGGGUCUGUCGCAUGAUGGGUCUGGGAAAGAUAUUGUUUCGGUGGGGGAUGGGCUCGCGGCCUAUCAGCUUGUUGGUGGGGUGAUGGCCUACCAAGGCGGUGACGGGUAGCCGGCCUGGGAGGGUGGACGGUCACGCUGGGACUGAGACACGGCCCAGACUCCUACGGGAGGCAGCAGUGGGGAAUAUUGCACAAUGGGCGCAAGCCUGAUGCAGCGUCGCCGCGUGAGGGAUGGAGGCCUUCGGGUUGUGAACCUCUUUCGCCAGUGAAGCAGGCCUGCCUCGUUUGUGGGUGGGUUGACGGUAGCUGGAUAAGAAGCGCCGGCUAACUACGUG
RNAcentral lists this ribosomal RNA (494 nucleotides) under uncultured bacterium. RNAcentral's name for it is "partial 16S ribosomal RNA". It matches the Rfam family "Bacterial small subunit ribosomal RNA", at positions 28 to 507 of the family's 1533-position model. The record is from RNAcentral.